CGCGCGGUUCUAUUUUGUUGGUUUCUAGGACCGCCGUAAUGAUUAAUAGGGACAGUCGGGGGCAUCCGUAUUCAGUAGUCAGAGGUGAAAUUCUUGGAUCUACUGAAGACGAACUACUGCGAAAGCAUUUGCCAAGGAUGUUUUCAUUAAUCAGGAACGAAAGUUGGGGGAUCGAAGACGAUCAGAUACCGUCGUAGUCCCAACCGUAAACUAUGCCGACUAGGGAUCGGGCGGUGUUAUUCUUUGACCCGCUCGGCACCUUGCACGAAAGUACAAGUUUUUGGGUUCUGGGGGGAGUAUGGUCGCAAGGCUGAAACUUAAAGAAAUUGACGGAAGGGCACCACCAGGGGUGGAGCCUGCGGCUUAAUUUGACUCAACACGGGGAAACUCACCAGGUCCAGACACGAUGAGGAUUGACAGAUUGAGAGCUCUUUCUUGAUUUCGUGGGUGGUGGUGCAUGGCCGUUCUUAGUUGGUGGAGUGAUUUGUCUGCUUAAUUGCGAUAACGAACGAGACCUUAACCUGCUAACUAGCCCGUAUUGCUUUGGCAGUACGCCGGCUUCUUAGAGGGACUAUCGGCUCAAGCCGAUGGAAGUUUGAGGCAAUAACAGGUCUGUGAUGCCCUUAGAUGUUCUGGGCCGCACGCGCGCUACACUGACACAGCCAGCGAGUCCUUCCUUGGCCGAGAGGCCCGGGUAAUCUUGUUAAACUGUGUCGUGCUGGGGAUAGAGCAUUGCAAUUAUUGCUCUUCAACGAGGAAUCCCUAGUAAGCGCAAGUCAUCAGCUUGCGUUGAUUACGUCCCUGCCCUUUGUACACACCGCCCGUCGCUACUACCGAUUGAAUGGCUCAGUGAGGCGUCCGGACUGGCCCCAGGCGGUCGGCAACGACCACCCAGGGCCGGAAAGCUCUCCAAACUCGGUCAUUUAGAGGAAGUAAAAGUCGUAACAAGGUCUCCGUUGGUGAACCAGCGGAGGGAUCAUUACCGGGAAAGCGCCGCAAGGCCGAACCCAACCCAACCCUUUGUGAACCUUACCCAAGGAAAAAACAUGUUGCUUCGGCAGGCGGCCCCGCUGGGGGGGGCCAGCCGCCCGGCGCGCGAUACAGCCGGGCGCCUGCCAGGGGCCCAACAGAAUUGCAUCUCCCAGAGACAGACAUCUCGAGAAAACUUUUAUUGAAAAACCGAUACAACCUUCAACAGUGGAUCUCUUGGUUCCGGCAUCGAUGAAGAACGCAGCGAAAUGCGAUACGUAAUGUGAAUUGCAGAGUACAGUGAACCAUCGAAUCUUUGAACGCACAUUGCGCCCGCCGGCAUUCCGGCGGGCAUGCCUGUCCGAGCGUCGCCUCCACCCUCGAGCCCCCGUCGGCUCGGCGUUGGGGCGCUACGCGAAACCCGCGUACGCCCCCAAAAGCAGUGGCGGGCCCGCCGGCACUCCCGGGCGCAGUAGGAAAGCCGCAAGGCGCCCCCUCGCCCCCGGAGCCGCCGCGGGAACCCCCGGCCAUCAAAAGCCCCAACUUCUCUUACAAGUUGACCUCGGAUCAGGUAGGAAGACCCGCUGAACUUAAGCAUAUCAAUAAGCGGAGGAAAAGAAACCAACAGGGAUUGCCUCAGUAGCGGCGAGCGAAGCGGCAACAGCUCAGAUUUGAAAUCUGGCCCCCGCCGCGGGGGCCCGAGUUGUAAUCUGCAGAGGAAGCCUUCGGCGAGGCGGCGGCCUAAGUCCCCUGGAACGGGGCGCCACAGAGGGUGAGAGCCCCGUGAGGCCGCCCGCCGAGCCAUUGUAAGGCCCCUUCGACGAGUCGAGUAGUUUGGGAAUGCUGCUCAAAAUGGGAGGUAUACUCCUUCUAAAGCUAAAUACAGGCCGGAGACCGAUAGCGCACAAGUAGCGUGAGCGAAAGAUGAAAAGCACUUUGGAAAGAGAGUGAAACAGCACGUGAAACUGUUGAGGGGGAAGCGCUCUCGGCCAGAACGUGCGCCGGGCGGAUCACCUGGGGCUCCGCCCCGGGGCACUCCGCCCGGCGCAGGCCAGCGUCGGUUCUCGCGGCGGGAUAAAGGUGCCGGGAAUGUGGCCCCCCACGGGGGGUGUUAUAGCCCGCGCGCGCAAUGCCGCCGCCGGGGACCGAGGUCCGCGCCCUCGUGGCUAGGACGCUGGCAUAAUGGCCGUCAGUGACCCGUCUUGAAACACGGACCAAGGAGUCAAGCAUUGCUGCGAGUGCUAGGGUGUCAAACCCGUGCGCGCAGUGAAAGCAAACGCAGGAGGGAGCCUCGGCGCACCUCCGACCGAUCCUGAUGUACUCGGAUGGAUUUGAGUAGGAGCAGUUAUGCUUGGACCCGAAAGAUGGUGAACUUUGCGUGGAUAGGGUGAAGCCAGAGGAAACUCUGGUGGAGGCUCGCAGCGGUUCUGACGUGCAAAUCGAUCGUCAAAUCUGCGCAAGGGGGCGAAAGACCAAUCGAACCAUCUAGUAGCUGGUUACCGCCGAAGUUUCCCUCAGGAUAGCAGUGUCGAUCUUCAGUUUUAUGAGGUAAAGCGAAUGAUUAGGGACCCGGGGGCGCUAUUUAGCCUUCAUCCAUUCUCAAACUUUAAAUAUGUAAGAAGCCCUUGUUGCUUAGUUGAACGUGGGCAUUCGAAUGCACGACACUAGUGGGCCAUUUUUGGUAAGCAGAACUGGCGAUGUGGGAUGAACCAUACGCGGGGUUAAGGUGCCGGAGUGGACGCUCAUCGGACACCACAAAAGGCGUUAGUACAUCUUGACAGCAGGACGGUGGCCAUGGAAGUCGGAACCCGCUAAGGAGUGUGUAACAACUCACCUGCCGAAUGUACUAGCCCUGAAAAUGGAUGGCGCUCAAGCGUCCCACCUAUACCCCGCCCCCAGGGUAGAAACGAAGCCCUGGGGAGUAGGCGGCCGUGGGGGUGCGUGACGAAGCCCAGGGCGCGAGCCCGGGUGGAACCGCCUCUAGUGCAGAUCUUGGUGGUAGUAGCAAAUACUUCAAUGAGAACUUGAAGGACCGAAGUGGGGAAAGGUUCCACGUGAACAGCGG
This 3034-nucleotide ribosomal RNA is filed under the name Sordariomycetes sp. AH1001_3A. Its description in RNAcentral is "eukaryotic LSU rRNA". The stretch from base 1527 to 3034 matches the Rfam family "Eukaryotic large subunit ribosomal RNA", at positions 1 to 1523 of the family's 3401-position model. Lineage: Eukaryota; Fungi; Ascomycota; Sordariomycetes. The record is from RNAcentral.